RNAcentral lists this ribosomal RNA (271 nucleotides) under uncultured Pseudomonas sp. RNAcentral's name for it is "partial 16S ribosomal RNA". It matches the Rfam family "Bacterial small subunit ribosomal RNA", at positions 1069 to 1338 of the family's 1533-position model. The record is from RNAcentral. Lineage: Bacteria; Pseudomonadati; Pseudomonadota; Gammaproteobacteria; Pseudomonadales; Pseudomonadaceae.
GAGAUGUGGGGUUAAGUCCUGUAACGAGCGCCCACCUUGUCCCUAGUUGCCAGCACGUGAUGGGGGGCACUCUAAGGAGACUGCCGGUGACAAACCGGAGGAAGGUGGGGAUGACGUCAAGUCAUCAUGGCCCUUACGGCUAUGGGCUACACACGUGGUACAAUGGUCGGUACAGAGGGUUGCCAACCCGCGAGGGGGAGCUAAUCCCAGAAAACCGAUCGUAGUCCGGAUCGCAGUCUGCAACUCGACUGCGUGAAGUCGGAAUCGCUAG